Long non-coding RNA from Cyprinus carpio carpio, 1362 nucleotides. The record is from Ensembl. Lineage: Eukaryota; Metazoa; Chordata; Actinopteri; Cypriniformes; Cyprinidae.
AUGACUUUCCCACUUUACUCAAAGAUCACCAGUCCUUUCCAAAAUUUCAAGAAUGUUCAAGUGCAGAUGAUCUCUAAAUGUUGUAAAAACAACAAUACAACAACAAAAUGUGCUGAUGCAAAACAUUUCAGAGAGAAGAUACUGAAGAAGAAAGAGAGGAGAAGUGAUGGAUUGCGCUGAGAGAUAUUGGAGGCAUGAGACGUGCGAGGUGCUGGACUCCAUGACCACUGUUUGGCAGAAGAGCUGCAUUGGUGCUCAGAAGUGGAAUUUCAGUGAAUUUUGUUGACUCAAAGUUCACUUUCCCAAGACAAAUAUACUUGAGGGGCGAAACCUCCCCCAGACUUCAUCCGCUGUUUCUCUUUGUAUUUUUGGUUUGAUGGAUAUCAUGUUCCUUUUGUUCUGUUUUUGCCUGGUAAAUGUACAGCACAGUCACUGUUUACAUUAAGGUGUAGCAUUGGCUAAACAAAUCUUAUUAUAUUAUACAGAAAGAGUGACUUUCAGCUGACAGAUAUUUAAUUACACAAUCCGUUGUGCUUUUGCCAUUUAAAUAGGUGUUAUCUCGCCGCUGAGCUGCUGUACAAUGUCAGAGGUCUUUACAAGUGAGUGAAAAUGUCCUCGGCUUUAUUCAGCAUUGGGAUUUAAUAUAAAUUUAUCUCCCCUCAAAAAAGCAUUUCCAUUACAGGAUAAAAUCCAUACUGAGUCUCAAGUCUGACACUCGCGAGACAUCCCUUGAGUUAGACUGACCUAAGAGAACGUGUGAAGUGCAAGCGAAUCGAUUAAAACAUUUGUGUGUGUCAUAAUCGUAACUGUUGGCUUAGAGAUAUCAAUGUCAUCCCGAUGCCACGUGGGGAAUUUAAGGCAUCUUUUCCUGUGAAUUUAUUCUGACAUGGAGGUGACAUCGCCAUAUAUAAAGCUUCUAUUAAUAAAACGCUGACAGCCAAAUGUGCCCGGCACUCCUCCAGGGUUUACUCAGGUUUUUUAAGAUGCAAAGUCUGCCAUUGUGAGUCUCCAAAGGAACACGGAAAUGUGUUCUAAUGUGUGUUACUUGCAUCAGAGAGAUGUUUAUUUGUAGGUAAUGGUUUGUGGAAAAAUCUUCGCUCCAUCAUCUGCAGGACCACCCUUUCUGAGAGAGGCAGGGCGGUAAAUCCAGAGGCGUUUGGCUGUUGAUGGAGUUCUGGGGGACGGCAGCGAUUGCACCUCACUUUAUGAGUGAUUUAGGAUGAGUUUUUCCCUCAAUGUUUUAGUCAUUACUCUUAAUCACACACUUCAGCCAUUCUGUCCGCUUCCGUCGCCCAUUUCCUCUGUCUUCAGGCUGACAUUGACGGAUCGCAGACACCCGCUGUAUCUCCUCUGAGCCAGACA